AGCAUGCUCUCGCACGGGUUUAGACCCGUGGCGGAAAGCUCAGUAACACGUGGCCAAACUACCCUGUGCGACGACGAUACUCUCGGGAAACUGAGGUUAAUCCUCGAUACAGCUCUCAGGCUGGAAUGCACAGAGCGGGAAACGUUCCGGCGCCACAGGAUGUGGCUGCGGCCGAUUAGGUAGACGGUGAGGUAACGGCCCACCGUGCCAGUAAUCGGUACGGGUGAUGAGAGUCAGAACCACGGAGACGGUAUCUGAGACAAGAUACCGGGCCCUACGGGGCGCAGCAGGCGCGAAACCUUUACACUGCACGACAGUGCGAUAGGGGGACUCCGAGUGCGAGGGCAUAUAGUCCUCGCUUUUCUGGACCGUAAGGAGGUCCAGGAACAAGUGCUGGGCAAGACCGGUGCCAGCACGCCGCGGUAAUACCGGCAGCACAAGUGAUGGCCGCUAUUAUUGGGCCUAAAGCGUCCGUAGCCGGCCAGCCAAGUCCGUUGGGAAAUCCACGCGCUUAACACGUGGGCGUCCGGCGGAAACUGUCUGGCUUGGGGCCGGAAGACCCAAGGGGUACGUCCGGGGUAGGAGUGAAAUCCCGUAAUCCUGGACGGACCGCCGAUGGCGAAAGCACCUUGGGAAGACGGACCCGACGGUGAGGGACGAAAGCCAGGGUCUCGAACCGGAUUAGAUACCCGGGUAGUCCUGGGCG
RNAcentral lists this ribosomal RNA (706 nucleotides) under uncultured archaeon. Its description in RNAcentral is "bacterial SSU rRNA". It matches the Rfam family "Archaeal small subunit ribosomal RNA", at positions 47 to 753 of the family's 1478-position model. The record is from RNAcentral.